GUUUUUAAUUCACAAACGCGUCGAUAAUAGCCUAAAUUUUACGCUUUUUCCAUUAUACAUCAUUUUUUAAUAUAUAUGGACUAUACUGCAAGUUCCGAAUCAAAUCGAUUACGUGUGAUGUCGUAUUCCAUUAUAUCGUAUCAUUUUGAUUUGAAAGCACAAGUACUCCUAUGAGUAGUUUUAUGUGUAUCAGCCGCCUACCGUACAUGUAUAUGACGUAUUUUUUCAUUAAUUGUAGUAUUAUGAUGUAUAUUGUCAUUUUGGGUCGUACAAGUGCGUAUUGAAUCUGAUUGGGUCGUGUCGGUGACAUUCGGUUUUUAACGUGAUGUAACGCAUAUAUUGAACAAACACAAACGUACUUUUGGAUUGUAAAAGAAUUAACGUCAAUAUUAUUAAACACAUUUAACUUUUCGUUCAGUAGUGGAGAGUAUGUAUUUCUCGACUUGUCAGACAAAAUUUCUUGUAGUGUCAUUCAUGGACCCUCACCUCUACUAUCUAGCUAUCAUCUUACUAUAUUAG
Molecule: long non-coding RNA, 519 nt
Filed under: Helianthus annuus (common sunflower)
Lineage: Eukaryota; Viridiplantae; Streptophyta; Magnoliopsida; Asterales; Asteraceae
Description: hypothetical non coding rna
Source: RNAcentral